AAGGUCUUGGUCUCAAACCUCACAUUAUCUAAAACCAUUUGUUUAUACAUGCAAGCCUCACCACAACGGUGAAACAGCCAUAAUAACUAUAGAGCCGGCAUCAGUCACCCACCAAGACGCCAAGCAACAGUCACACCCUCACGGGUAACACAGCAGUAAUUAACAUUAGGCAAUAAGUGAAAACUUGACCAAGCAAAAUGGACACAGGGCCGGUUAAUCUCGUGCCAGCGACCGCGGUUAUACGAUAGGCUCAAGAUAAUAUCAGCGGCGUAAAAAUGACUAAAUUAAUCAGUCUAACUUUUAGGGCAGAAACCCAGCAGGGCUGUAAAAAGCCAUAAACCACAAUAAUCACCACCCCUAAAACCACACAAAUUUGACUCAUGAAAGCCAGGAUACAAACUAAGAUUAGAUACCUUACUAUGCCUAGCCGUAACACACUAUAAACGUUCGCCAACAACUACGAGUGAUAACUUAAAACUUAAAAGACUUGACGGUACUUCAUCCAGCCUAGAGGAGCCUGUCUAAUAACCGACAACCCACGAUUAACCCGACCCUUUCUUGCCAACAGUCUAUAUACCGCCGUCGUCAGCCUACCUUGUAAAAGCAAUAAAGUAGGCUCAAUAGCACCACACUAAAACGACAGGUCGAGGUGUAACCCAUGAAAAGGACUAAGAUGGACUACAUUCUCAAGCCGAGAACACGGAUAAUACUAUGAAAAUAGCAUUUGAAGGCGGAUUUAGUAGUAAGAUAAGAAUAAAAUACCUAACUGAACAUAACGCAAUGAAGUGCGUACACACCGCCCGUCAUCCCUGCCACCACAACAUAAACAUAAAUAAACACCAAACGGAAACUAAACAGGGCAAGUCGUAACAUGGUAAGUGUACUGGAAAGUGUACUUAGAAA
Molecule: non-coding RNA, 903 nt
Filed under: Deinagkistrodon acutus (Chinese moccasin)
Lineage: Eukaryota; Metazoa; Chordata; Lepidosauria; Squamata; Viperidae
Source: RNAcentral